AAAACACAAGGAGAAGCAAUCAGAUAAUUAUUAUUUACAUUCUUCACUGAGGCUUCUCAGCUUCCCAGCAGAAGAAAUCCUGGCGAAGGGAUUUUUCAGAAAAUAUCCCAGUGACAAGAAAAAGUUGUGGGAUUUUUUUCUUUGCCUUUGGUGAGAGCUGCUUGCAGCAUUCCCUGCUGGGAAAGGCAUUGCUGUGGGAGAUGAGGGAUGAAGCAGAGCUUCCUUUUGUGAGGUGCCAUUGCCAGCAGAGGCUGAGCACACUCCUCCUACCCCAUAGUACAGUUUCCAUGUAAGAGAAAAGGCAAAGUUUCUGUACAGCAAAGGAAAGCAGGUGGGAGAAAUGAGGUGAAGUGCUGGUGUGCCACCUGUCUUCCUUAAUGUCAGGAGGGGAAGGUGGUGUAGGGAGUGUUGACUCAGUUGACUGUAAUUUGGAAGAGUGUUGGUCUGAUUUAGCUCUGGGAGCACAGAAAUGCCACUUUUGGCACAAGGGAAGUUUUGGAUCAAGCUGCUAUGAACCACUUAAGUCUAGUCAGCAAACUGAAAAAUAAUUUUCCCAUUGCCAACCUGAUAAAUGACCUGAUGCUCAGGUGGAGCCCCAGUCUUUGAGAUCCAAAAUCUGCUUCAUUACAGUUGUCACAAACAUCUCCAGGACUGUGGCAAGGACAGAGCACAAGGAUGAGGAAUGGUUCUGUGUGCUUGGAAACCUGGAUGUUUCUGUUGUGGAGCUGACCAUAGAUCAGCAUUCAGACCACUGGAAAAUCUGGACCAACAUGAUGUUGCAACCAGGGCACAGGCUGCCAGGAAGCAAACCUCCAGACAAAGCCCUGCAUUUGUAGCAGUCCUUUCCUUCCUCCACCUGUUUUGUGCCCUUUUAUUGCUUUGUUCCAUACAUAAACUUGUGCUUUUACACUCUUUGAAGUGUCCUGCACGGUG
Long non-coding RNA from Passer domesticus (house sparrow), 933 nucleotides. RefSeq lists it as uncharacterized. The transcript is spliced from 5 exons. The record is from RefSeq and is a predicted model, not a curated record. NCBI's taxonomy places the organism in Eukaryota, Metazoa, Chordata, Aves, Passeriformes, Passeridae.